GAUGAACGCUGGCGGCGUGCCUAAUACAUGCAAGUCGAGCGAACAGACGAGGAGCUUGCUUCUCUGACGUUAGCGGCGGACGGGUGAGUAACACGUGGAUAACCUACCUAUAAGACUGGGAUAACUUCGGGAAACCGGAGCUAAUACCGGAUAAUAUAUUGAACCGCAUGGUUCAAUAGUGAAAGACGGUUUUGCUGUCACUUAUAGAUGGAUUCGCGCCGCAUUAGCUAGUUGGUAAGGUAACGGCUUACCAAGGCAACGAUGCGUAGCCGACCUGAGAGGGUGAUCGGCCACACUGGAACUGAGACACGGUCCAGACUCCUACGGGCGGCAGCAGUAGGGAAUCUUCCGCAAUGGGCGAAAGCCUGACGGAGCAACGCCGCGUGAGUGAUGAAGGUCUUCGGAUCGUAAAACUCUGUUAUUAGGGAAGAACAAAUGUGUAAGUAACUAUGCACGUCUUGACGGUACCUAAUCAGAAAGCCACGGCUAACUACGUG
RNAcentral lists this ribosomal RNA (497 nucleotides) under uncultured bacterium. RNAcentral describes it as "partial 16S ribosomal RNA". It matches the Rfam family "Bacterial small subunit ribosomal RNA", at positions 28 to 507 of the family's 1533-position model. The record is from RNAcentral.